UAAAAGCAAAGAAACAUCUGUUUUGAAUGUCUCUUGUUUCUGUAUCAAGUGGACAAAAUGGACAACUUUAAUGGCAUGAUUAGGGGCAGAGCCAGGAUUAUGUUAUACGAGGUGCCAAGGGGAAAACAAAUUCACUUAUGCUUUCUUUCUCCUACUUUUUUGUUUGACUUUUCUCCCAUUUGUUUUUAUCCUUUGAUCUUUCUUGGCAUGUCUUUCCCUUUUCACAGUGAAACACUCCAAACCAUAGCUCAAUGGCGAUGCAGUUCCUCUCUCUUUCUGUCUAUAGUUCCUUUUGUGGCAUUGGAUAUCCAAAUAUCUAUAUGCCUAGUUUGAGGAUCACGCAUUCCACAAGAGCAGUUGCUACUAAAG
This 369-nucleotide long non-coding RNA is filed under the name Phoenix dactylifera (date palm). RNAcentral's name for it is "long non-coding RNA (PDAC_LNC008973)". Lineage: Eukaryota; Viridiplantae; Streptophyta; Magnoliopsida; Arecales; Arecaceae. The record is from RNAcentral.